AACUUUACAUGCACGAAAGUGUGAUAAGGGGAUCCCCAGUGCUCAUGUUCUGCAUGGGCUUUUGCCAAGAGUAAAUAUCUUGGCGAAUAAGUGGUGGGUAAGACCGGUGCCAGCCGCCGCGGUAAUACCGGCGCCACGAGUGGCAACUAGUUUAUUGGGCCUAAAGCGUUCGUAGCUGGUUUAGUAAAUUUUUUGUGAAAUUGUUAUGCUCAACGUAACAGCGUGCAAGAAAGACUGCUAGACUUGGGACCGGGAGAAGUUAGGGGUAUAUCAUGGGGAGCGGUAAAAUGCUAUAAUCCUUGGUAGACCACCUGUGGCGAAGGCGCCUAACUAGAACGGAUCCGACAGUGAGGGACGAAAGCCAGGGGAGCGAACCGGAUUAGAUACCCGAGUAGUCCUGGCCGUAAACGUUGCGAGCUAGGUGUUGCGUAUUCCCCGUGAAUAUGCAGCGUCGUAGCGAAGGCGUUAAGCUCGCCGCCUGGGAAGUACGGCCGCAAGACUGAAACUUAAAGGAAUUGGCGGGGGAGCACAAGCCGAAUUCCA
This 543-nucleotide ribosomal RNA is filed under the name uncultured archaeon. RNAcentral describes it as "bacterial SSU rRNA". It matches the Rfam family "Archaeal small subunit ribosomal RNA", at positions 346 to 892 of the family's 1478-position model. The record is from RNAcentral.